Molecule: unclassified non-coding RNA, 148 nt
Filed under: uncultured Stomiopeltis
Lineage: Eukaryota; Fungi; Ascomycota; Lecanoromycetes; Micropeltidales; Micropeltidaceae
Description: sequence contains ITS2
Source: RNAcentral
CACCACUCAAGCUUGGCUUGGUAUUGGGCGUCGCGUUUGCCGCGUGCCUUGAAGUCCCUCGGCCCCGUGGCCCGUCCCUGAGCGUUGUGGCAUUUACUGUUCGCUCUCGGUGACUGGCGGCGGCCGGCCGUUAAACUCUCAUCACAGG